This 253-nucleotide ribosomal RNA is filed under the name uncultured bacterium. Its description in RNAcentral is "partial 16S ribosomal RNA". It matches the Rfam family "Bacterial small subunit ribosomal RNA", at positions 524 to 776 of the family's 1533-position model. The record is from RNAcentral.
UACGAACCGUCCAACCGUUAUUCGGAAUUACUGGGCUUAAAGGGUUUGUAGGCGGCCUUGUAAGUGGGGUGUGAAAUCCCUCGGCUCAACCGAGGAAUAGCGCUCCAAACUACAUGGCUUGAGGGAGACAGGGGUAAGCGGAACUGAUGGUGGAGCGGUGAAAUGCGUUGAUAUCAUCAGGAACACCGGUGGCGAAAGCGGCUUACUGGGUCUCUUCUGACGCUGAGAAACGAAAGCUAGGGUAGCGAACGGG